RNAcentral lists this ribosomal RNA (594 nucleotides) under uncultured bacterium. RNAcentral describes it as "bacterial SSU rRNA". It matches the Rfam family "Bacterial small subunit ribosomal RNA", at positions 470 to 1059 of the family's 1533-position model. The record is from RNAcentral.
UGACGGUAUCAUAUGAGUAAGCACCGGCUAACUCCGUGCCAGCAGCCGCGGUAAUACGGGGGGUGCAAGCGUUACUCGGAAUCACUGGGCGUAAAGAGCAUGUAGGCGGGUGAAUAAGUUGGAAGUGAAAUCCUAUAGCUUAACUAUAGAACUGCUUCCAAAACUGUUCACCUAGAGUAUGGGAGAGGUAGAUGGAAUUUCUGGUGUAGGGGUAAAAUCCGUAGAGAUCAGAAGGAAUACCGAUUGCGAAGGCGAUCUACUGGAACAUUACUGACGCUCAGAUGCGAAAGCGUGGGGAGCAAACAGGAUUAGAUACCCUGGUAGUCCACGCCCUAAACGAUGUACACUAGUUGUUGCUAUACUAGAUAUGGCAGUAAUGCAGUUAACACUUUAAGUGUACCGCCUGGGGAGUACGGUCGCAAGAUUAAAACUCAAAGGAAUAGACGGGGACCCGCACAAGCGGUGGAGCAUGUGGUUUAAUUCGACGAUACGCGAAAAACCUUACCUGGCCUUGACAUAGUAGGAAUCUUUAAGAGAUUAGAGAGUGCUAGCUUGCUAGAACCUACAUACAGGUGCUGCACGGCUGUCGUCAGC